RNAcentral lists this ribosomal RNA (110 nucleotides) under Oceanobacillus caeni. Lineage: Bacteria; Bacillati; Bacillota; Bacilli; Caryophanales; Bacillaceae. The record is from RNAcentral.
GGUAGCGAUGGCGGAAAGGUCACACCUGUUCCCAUACCGAACACAGAAGUUAAGCUUUCCAGCGCCGAUGGUAGUUGGGGUUACCCCCUGCGAGAGUAGGACGCCGCCAG